CAGCCGCCGCGGUAAUACAGAGGGUGCGAGCGUUAAUCGGAUUUACUGGGCGUAAAGCGUGCGUAGGCGGCUUCUUAAGUCGGAUGUGAAAUCCCUGAGCUUAACUUAGGAAUUGCAUUCGAUACUGGGAAGCUAGAGUAUGGGAGAGGAUGGUAGAAUUCCAGGUGUAGCGGUGAAAUGCGUAGAGAUCUGGAGGAAUACCGAUGGCGUAGGCAGCCAUCUGGCCUAAUACUGACGCUGAGGUACGAAAGCAUGGGGAGCAAACAGGAUUAGAUACCCCCGUAGUCCCUGUCUCUUAUCA
This 301-nucleotide ribosomal RNA is filed under the name uncultured bacterium. Its description in RNAcentral is "partial 16S ribosomal RNA". It matches the Rfam family "Bacterial small subunit ribosomal RNA", at positions 509 to 809 of the family's 1533-position model. The record is from RNAcentral.